This 206-nucleotide ribosomal RNA is filed under the name uncultured soil bacterium. RNAcentral's name for it is "partial 16S ribosomal RNA". It matches the Rfam family "Bacterial small subunit ribosomal RNA", at positions 26 to 260 of the family's 1533-position model. The record is from RNAcentral.
AGAACGAACGCUGGCGGCAUGCCUAAUACAUGCAAGUCGAACGAACUCUUCGGAGUUAGUGGCGCACGGGUGCGUAACGCGUGGGAAUCUGCCCCUUGGUUCGGAAUAACAGUUGGAAACGACUGCUAAUACCGGAUGAUGACGAAAGUCCAAAGAUUUAUCGCCAAGGGAUGAGCCCGCGUAGGAUUAGCUAGUUGGUGAGGUAA